UCCCUGGUGGCUCAGAGGUUUAAAGCAUCUGCCUGCAAUGCAGGAGACCUGGGUUCGAUCCCUGGGUUGGGAA
Molecule: transfer RNA, 73 nt
Filed under: Bos taurus (domestic cattle)
Lineage: Eukaryota; Metazoa; Chordata; Mammalia; Artiodactyla; Bovidae
Also listed under: 5 other names
Rfam family: tRNA
About the family: Transfer RNA (tRNA) molecules are approximately 80 nucleotides in length. Their secondary structure includes four short double-helical elements and three loops (D, anti-codon, and T loops).
Source: Rfam by way of RNAcentral